AUCAAUUCUCGGCCUUUUGGCUAAGAUCAAAUGUAGUAUCUGUUCUUAUCAGUUUAAUAAUUUUUACUUCAGUAUUCCUGAACACUAAGGAAAACCAUGAUUUGCUUUCCCUGU
Molecule: small nuclear RNA, 114 nt
Filed under: Erinaceus europaeus (western European hedgehog)
Lineage: Eukaryota; Metazoa; Chordata; Mammalia; Eulipotyphla; Erinaceidae
Description: U2 spliceosomal RNA
Rfam family: U2 spliceosomal RNA
About the family: U2 is a small nuclear RNA (snRNA) component of the spliceosome (involved in pre-mRNA splicing).
Source: Rfam by way of RNAcentral